ACAAGAGCAAACAAGAGGAGCCAACUUUCACGCAAGCGGGGAGCUUAUGCAAACUUGUACGAAGGUACUCAUCAAAUCAGGACUCAGACUCUGGAGUCUGGCGCGGCUAGACAGCCUUUCUAAUCCACUGCUCCACCCUUUCAUCAUCAUAAUUUCAAAGGUUCCUCUUGAUGUUCACUCACCGAGUCCUUAAUGUGCAGCAACCGGGAGUCCGAGUGACGCUGACCUGUCCAGCAGAUCGCGCGCGUUAGUGUCAGUGUGAGCGUGGACGAGUUUACCCGCGCGCGGGAUCUGCCAUUCCGUUGUGUUGUUUGUUGCUUACUGCACGCGCGAUUCGCGUCUCCGUGAUGAGUAUGUGAGGCAAAAGGAACAAAACGAAGUGGAAACAAGAAAGAAAGAAAGAAAGAAAGAAAGAAAGAAAGAAAGAAAGAAAGAAAGAAAGAAAGAAAGAAAGAAAGAAAGAAAAUGGAUUAAAAAUAUGGAGCAAAAAGGACUAAGCCCAUUCAACAUGUUUCUAGUCGUUUUCUGCCUGGUCAUUUUUCAGGCACUUUUCGCAUAUUCAUCAGAUGAAUCUUCUAACUCAAGCAGUGAUUCAGCAACAGUCACAGCUUCUUCAGAUAACGAACCUUCUAGUACGAACACUGAAUCAAC
This is a long non-coding RNA of Erpetoichthys calabaricus (reedfish), 651 nucleotides long. RefSeq lists it as uncharacterized. The transcript is spliced from 4 exons. NCBI's taxonomy places the organism in Eukaryota, Metazoa, Chordata, Cladistia, Polypteriformes, Polypteridae. The record is from RefSeq and is a predicted model, not a curated record.